UACGGAGGAUCCAAGCGUUAUCCGGAUUUAUUGGGUUUAAAGGGUGCGUAGGCGGCCUGUUAAGUCAGGGGUGAAAGACGGUAGCUCAACUAUCGCAGUGCCCUUGAUACUGACGGGCUUGAAUCAACUAGAGGUGGGCGGAAUGUGACAAGUAGCGGUGAAAUGCAUAGAUAUGUCACAGAACACCGAUUGCGAAGGCAGCUCACUAUGGUUGUAUUGACGCUGAGGCACGAAAGCGUGGGGAUCAAACAGG
This 253-nucleotide ribosomal RNA is filed under the name uncultured bacterium. Its description in RNAcentral is "partial 16S ribosomal RNA". It matches the Rfam family "Bacterial small subunit ribosomal RNA", at positions 524 to 776 of the family's 1533-position model. The record is from RNAcentral.